AGAGUUUGAUCCUGGCUCAGGAUGAACGCUGGCGGCGUGCUUAACACAUGCAAGUCGAACGGGAUCCAUCAAGCUUGCUUGGUGGUGAGAGUGGCGAACGGGUGAGUAAUGCGUGACCGACCUGCCCCAUACACCGGAAUAGCUCCUGGAAACGGGUGGUAAUGCCGGAUGUUCCAGUUGAUCGCAUGGUCUUCUGGGAAAGCUUUCGCGGUAUGGGAUGGGGUCGCGUCCUAUCAGCUUGACGGCGGGGUAACGGCCCACCGUGGCUUCGACGGGUAGCCGGCCUGAGAGGGCGACCGGCCACAUUGGGACUGAGAUACGGCCCAGACUCCUACGGGAGGCAGCAGUGGGGAAUAUUGCACAAUGGGCGCAAGCCUGAUGCAGCGACGCCGCGUGAGGGAUGGAGGCCUUCGGGUUGUAAACCUCUUUUAUCGGGGAGCAAGCGUGAGUGAGUUUACCCGUUGAAUAAGCACCGGCUAACUACGUGCCAGCAGCCGCGGUAAUACGUAGGGUGCAAGCGUUAUCCGGAAUUAUUGGGCGUAAAGGG
Molecule: ribosomal RNA, 547 nt
Filed under: Bifidobacterium longum
Lineage: Bacteria; Bacillati; Actinomycetota; Actinomycetes; Bifidobacteriales; Bifidobacteriaceae
Description: bacterial SSU rRNA
Rfam family: Bacterial small subunit ribosomal RNA
Source: RNAcentral